GGUUGUAAGCUCUUUUAUCCGGAACGAUAAUGACGGUACCGGAGGAAUAAGCCCCGGCUAACUUCGUGCCAGCAGCCGCGGUAAUACGAAGGGGGCUAGCGUUGCUCGGAAUCACUGGGCGUAAAGGGCGCGUAGGCGGCGUUUUAAGUCGGGGGUGAAAGCCUGUGGCUCAACCACAGAAUGGCCUUCGAUACUGGGACGCUUGAGUAUGGUAGAGGUUGGUGGAACUGCGAGUGUAGAGGUGAAAUUCGUAGAUAUUCGCAAGAACACCGGUGGCGAAGGCGGCCAACUGGACCAUUACUGACGCUGAGGCGCGAAAGCGUGGGGAGCAAACAAGAUUAGAUACCCUGGUAGUCC
This 357-nucleotide ribosomal RNA is filed under the name uncultured bacterium. RNAcentral's name for it is "bacterial SSU rRNA". It matches the Rfam family "Bacterial small subunit ribosomal RNA", at positions 421 to 796 of the family's 1533-position model. The record is from RNAcentral.